GCCCUCGUAGCUCAGUGGAUAGAGCACCUGCCUCCUAAGCAGGGGGUCGCGCGUUCGAUUCGCGCCGGGGGCA
This 73-nucleotide transfer RNA is filed under the name Deltaproteobacteria bacterium. RNAcentral describes it as "tRNA-Arg". It matches the Rfam family "tRNA". Rfam says of the family: Transfer RNA (tRNA) molecules are approximately 80 nucleotides in length. The record is from RNAcentral. RNAcentral also lists the same sequence under 1 other name. Lineage: Bacteria; Pseudomonadati; Myxococcota; Myxococcia.